AUCCGAGUGCACGGGUCUUACGUUUCCAGUGAAGGUUCGCCUGAGGCAACGUUUUUGCUAGUUGAAAACUACAAACUUAGACCGCUCCAGUUGGUCUUCGGAUCGGCUGGGAAUUUUUGAAAAAAUUUAUCUUUAAAUC
Coccidioides immitis H538.4 is the source of this 139-nucleotide small nuclear RNA. It matches the Rfam family "U4 spliceosomal RNA". From Rfam's summary of the family: U4 small nuclear RNA (U4 snRNA) is a component of the major U2-dependent spliceosome. The structure of U4 snRNA from yeast and human has been reported. The record is from Rfam. NCBI's taxonomy places the organism in Eukaryota, Fungi, Ascomycota, Eurotiomycetes, Onygenales, Onygenaceae.